This 564-nucleotide ribosomal RNA is filed under the name Acremonium sp. C54. Its description in RNAcentral is "eukaryotic LSU rRNA". It matches the Rfam family "Eukaryotic large subunit ribosomal RNA", at positions 38 to 629 of the family's 3401-position model. Lineage: Eukaryota; Fungi; Ascomycota; Sordariomycetes; Hypocreales; Bionectriaceae. The record is from RNAcentral.
GCAUAUCAAUAAGCGGAGGAAAAGAAACCAACAGGGAUUGCCUCAGUAACGGCGAGUGAAGCGGCAACAGCUCAAAUUUGAAAUCUGGCCUCACGGUCCGAGUUGUAAUUUGCAGAGGGUGUUUCUGGCGACGUGUCUUCCGAGUUCCCUGGAACGGGACGCCAUAGAGGGUGAGAGCCCCGUCCGGUCGUACGCCUAGCCUAUGUGAAACCCCUUCGACGAGUCGAGUAGUUUGGGAAUGCUGCUCAAAACGGGAGGUAUACGUCUUCUAAAGCUAAAUACCGGCCAGAGACCGAUAGCGCACAAGUAGAGUGAUCGAAAGAUGAAAAGCACUUUGAAAAGAGGGUUAAAUAGUACGUGAAAUUGCUGAAAGGGAAGCGCUUAUGACCAGACUUGGGCUCGGUGAAUCAUCCGGCGUUCUCGCCGGUGACUUUGCCGUCCCAGGCCAGCAUCAGCUCGCCCCGGGGGAUAAAGGCUUCGGGAAUGUAGCUCCUUCGGGAGUGUUAUAGCCCGUUGCGUAAUACCCUGGCGUGGACUGAGGUCCGCGCUCUGCAAGGAUGCUGG